Non-coding RNA from Chrysemys picta bellii (western painted turtle), 774 nucleotides. The record is from RefSeq and is a predicted model, not a curated record. NCBI's taxonomy places the organism in Eukaryota, Metazoa, Chordata, Testudines, Emydidae.
CACUUUCGAUCUCCUGGCUUCUACCCCCUACCCUGCUGGCAGGGCAUUGUGCAGCACCCUUUCCAGCCCACCUGGGUGCAGGAGAUCGAGGAAGAGAGCAUCUGCCAUCCAACUCUUUCCCAUCUAGAGCAAUUCCAGGAUGAAGAGGCUGAAGCAGAUGCUCAGGAGGAAGGCUGGGCAGGUGGCUCCGGAGCCAGUAGGGAGCACCGUCCGUCUUGCCCAGAAGGAGAGCGGCUCCUCUGUCCCCGCAGGCGGGGAAGAGGCCAGUGAGCAGGCAAAGCAGAGGAACUCCCUGACCUUCUGGAGGAAGAGAAAAACACCAGCUCCUUUAGCAGGCCCUGAGGCACCUUCUGGUCCCAAAUGGAGGUGGCCCAGGGUGAUGCUAUGUAGGAGGGACCCAGGAGAGGGUGGGAGCCGGGCAAGGUGGCUCUGCGGCUUCCUUUACAGGAAGCAGAGGAGCCAGGAGCCCAGCCCCAGGGCCCAGCAGGAGCCAUCCACCAGCCUGGCCACUGAGGAGCCCUCCAGCUGGCCCACUGCAGGAGCUGGGCGACUCUGGCACGGGAACCAGCAGCUCUGCCUAUUCCCGAGGGGCCAGAAGCUCCUCCGUGGGGUCUGACAGUCCUGAGGCUGAAGGCUCCCUCUUUGCAGAGACCCCCAGUGCCCAGCUGGAGUGGGUUGAGGAGGAGGAGGAGGAGAAGGAGGAGGAGGAGGAUGUGUCCCCUGAACAAGACACCAUCAGGGCCAUCCAGCAGCACCUCCAGGGCAGAGCUGAGG